AGAUAUUGAGCAUCACGAGCUCCUAAGCAAGGGGAAUGAUUAUGUUCUGUCCGAGUACAUGCUGGCGUGGGUGAUUGGACUACAGUUGAGGUGCGGAAAGUCGUGGACGGAUUGUACACAUAUGUACAUUCCAGUGAUCGCGAACUCACAAUAGGGGUGUUGCGACGGGAUUUUACGACAGAGAUCGUCGCAGUAUGAGAGGAGAUAGGGGUGUUGCGACAAGAUUUUACGACAGAUGUAGUAGCUUUGCGAGAUGAGAUUGGAGUGUUGCGACGAGAUAUAGGAGACCUUCAUACUGAGGUUGCAGCACUUCGAGGCGAUGUAGCAGGCGUCCGAGGGAAUGUCGGGGAGACUGGUGUCCCUCGAGAUUGGUGGGCAACGACCGGGGGAAUCGAUGAGUUUUUUGGUUCGGUCCCGGAGGCCGAGAGGGAGGGGGUGGAGGUCGGGCAGGAGGAGCCGGAGGAGGCCGGGAUGCCCGGGGUGGAGGUCGGGCCGGAGGUGCCGGAGGAGGCAGAGAUAGAGGAGGGGGAGGGAGGGACAGGGGUGGUCGAGGAGGUAGCGGAGGGGACAUCAGAGGUGGUAGUAGAGGGGGAUGAUCAGGUUGCGAAGGACGAGAGGACGCCAGAGAUGACGGAUGACGAGGUAGUAUUCGUGUCCGAGGGGGCGACGGAGGUCCCGAAGGGUAAGAAGCGUGCUCGUUCGUGUCAUAGAUAUUGAGCAUCACGAGCUCCUAAGCAAGGGGAAUGAUUAUGUUCUGUCCGAGUACAUGCUGGCGUGGGUGAUUGGACUACAGUUGAGGUGCGGAAAGUCGUGGACGGAUUGUACACAUAUGUACAUUCCAGUGAUCGCGAACUCACACUGUUUUUCGGUGGAGAUCGUAUUUGCUGAUUCCACCAUAUAUGUGUACGACUCUGAUCAUAGCUGUCUGACACAAAGUCAACUGGAGCAAAUACUGGAGCCAUUGGCUGUGAUCGUGCCCAUGAUGGCUAGUCAUGCGAUGAUU
Molecule: long non-coding RNA, 1003 nt
Filed under: Olea europaea (common olive)
Lineage: Eukaryota; Viridiplantae; Streptophyta; Magnoliopsida; Lamiales; Oleaceae
Description: long non-coding RNA (OEUR_LNC008604)
Source: RNAcentral